RNAcentral lists this ribosomal RNA (1125 nucleotides) under uncultured Mollicutes bacterium. Its description in RNAcentral is "bacterial SSU rRNA". It matches the Rfam family "Bacterial small subunit ribosomal RNA", at positions 355 to 1482 of the family's 1533-position model. Lineage: Bacteria; Bacillati; Mycoplasmatota; Mollicutes. The record is from RNAcentral.
UAGGGAAUUUUUCACAAUGGGCGCAAGCCUGAUGGAGCAAUACCGCGUGACUGAAGAAGGUUUUCGGAUCGUAAAAGUUUGUGGCGAGGGAAGAAUUUUUUUUGAGGAAAUGUGAAUAAAAAUGACGGUACCUCGUUAGAAAGCCAUGACUAAUUACGUGCCAGCAGUCGCGGUAAUACGUAAGUGGCCAGCAUUAUCCGGAUUAAUUGGGCGUAUAGUAUGCGUAGACGGUGGAGAAAGUUAAAGGUUCAAGAAUGAGGCUCAACCUCAUAAUGCUUUUAAGACUUCUUUACUAGAGGUUGGGAGACGUUAGUGGAAUUUCAUGUGUAGCGGUGGAAUGCGUGGAGAUAUGAAAGAACACCAAGAGCGAAGGCAACUAACGUGCCCAAAUCUGACGUUGAGGCAUGAGAGCACGGGGAGCRAAUCGGAUUAGAUACCCGAGUAGUCCGUUGCUGUAAACGAUGAGUACUAGAUGUUACACAAUGUAGUGUCGUAGUUAACACGUUAAGUACUCCGCCUGGGGAUUACGAACGCAAGUUUAAAACUCAAAGGAAUUGGCGGGAGCCCGCACAAGCGGUGGAGCAUGUGGUUUAAUUCGAAGAUACGCGAAGAACCUUACCAGGACUUGACAUUUAGCGCAAGCCCAUAGAAAUAUGGUGGAGGUUAACGUUAAACAGAUAGUGCAUGGUUGUCGUCAGUUCGUGCCGUGAGGUGUAGGGUUAAGUCCUUCAACGAACGCAACCCUCGUUGCUAGUUGCUAACAUUUAGUUGAGUACUUUAGCAAGACUGCCGGUCUUAAAGCCGGAGGAAGGAGAGGAUGACGUCAAAUCAUUAUGCUUCUUACGUCCUGGGCUACACACGUGCUACAAUGGCAGAUACAAUGAGUCACAAAUCCGUGAGGAUGAGUUAAUCUCCAAAGUCUGCCUCAGUUCGGAUCGAAGUCUGCAACUCGACUUCGUGAAGUCGGAAUCGCUAGUAAUCGCGAAUCAGCAAUGUCGCGGUGAAUACGUUCUCGGGCUCUGCACACACCGCCCGUCAAACCAUGAAAGUUGGUAGUGCUAGAAGUUAAUUAUCCAACCUGUUUACAGGAAGAUGUUAACUACGGCAAAACUGAUGAUUGGGGUU